This 76-nucleotide transfer RNA is filed under the name Bacillota bacterium. Its description in RNAcentral is "Firmicutes bacterium (anaerobic digester metagenome) tRNA-Glu". It matches the Rfam family "tRNA". Rfam says of the family: Transfer RNA (tRNA) molecules are approximately 80 nucleotides in length. Lineage: Bacteria; Bacillati; Bacillota. The record is from RNAcentral.
GGUCCCAUCGUCUAGAGGCCUAGGAUGCGUGGUUCUCAGCCACGAGACCGGGGUUCGAAUCCCCGUGGGACUACCA